Molecule: ribosomal RNA, 934 nt
Filed under: Paraphysomonas imperforata
Lineage: Eukaryota; Chrysophyceae; Chromulinales; Paraphysomonadaceae
Description: partial Bacterial large subunit ribosomal RNA
Rfam family: Bacterial large subunit ribosomal RNA
Source: RNAcentral
AUUCCUUGUCGGGUAAGUUCCGACCUGCACGAAUGGUGUAACCAUGGCCACGCUGUCUCCACCCGAGACUCAGUGAAAUUGAAAUCGCAGUGAAGAUGCUGUGUACCCGCACCUAGACGGAAAGACCCCGUGAACCUUUACUACAGCUUGGCACUGAACAUUGAACCUACAUGUGUAGGAUAGGUGGGAGGCUUUGAAGCACAGUCGCUAGAUUGUGUGGAGCCGUCCUUGAAAUACCACCCUUGUAUGUUUGAUGUUCUAACAUUGGCCCCUUAUCGGGGUUGUGGACAGUGUCUGGUGGGUAGUUUGACUGGGGCGGUCUCCUCCCAAAUAGUAACGGAGGAGCACGAAGGUUAGCUAAUCACGGUCGGACAUCGUGAGGUUAGUGCAAUGGCAUAAGCUAGCUUAACUGCGAGACAGACACGUCGAGCAGGUACGAAAGUAGGUCAUAGUGAUCCGGUGGUUCUGUAUGGAAGGGCCAUCGCUCAACGGAUAAAAGGUACGCCGGGGAUAACAGGCUGAUACUGCCCAAGAGUCCAUAUCGACGGCAGUGUUUGGCACCUCGAUGUCGGCUCAUCUCAUCCUGGGGCUGGAGCAGGUCCCAAGGGUACGGCUGUUCGCCGUUUAAAGAGGUACGUGAGCUGGGUUUAGAACGUCGUGAGACAGUUCGGUCCCUAUCUGCCGUGGGUGUAGGAUACUUGAGAGGAGUUGCCCCUAGUACGAGAGGACCGGGGUGAACGAUCCACUGGUGGACCUGUUGUGGCGCCAGCCGCAGUGCAGGGUAGCUAUGAUCGGAAAGGAUAACCGCUGAAGGCAUCUAAGCGGGAAGCCCCCCUCAAAACAAGGUAUCCCUGAGGGCCGUGGAAGACCACCACGUCAAUAGGCCGGAGAUGUAAGUGCAGCAAUGCAUUCAGUUGACCGGUACUAAUCGCCC